RNAcentral lists this ribosomal RNA (499 nucleotides) under uncultured bacterium. RNAcentral's name for it is "partial 16S ribosomal RNA". It matches the Rfam family "Bacterial small subunit ribosomal RNA", at positions 28 to 507 of the family's 1533-position model. The record is from RNAcentral.
GACGAACGCUGGCGGCGUGCCUAAUACAUGCAAGUCGAGCGAAGUUUUUCUGGUGCUUGCACUAGAAAAACUUAGCGGCGAACGGGUGAGUAACACGUAAAGAACCUGCCUCAUAGACUGGGACAACUAUUGGAAACGAUAGCUAAUACCGGAUAACAGUAUUUCUCGCAUGAGAGAUAUUUAAAAGUUGGUUAUGCUAACACUAUGAGAUGGCUUUGCGGUGCAUUAGCUAGUUGGUGGGGUAAAGGCCCACCAAGGCGACGAUGCGUAGCCGACCUGAGAGAGUGAUCGGCCACACUGGGACUGAGACACGGCCCAGACUCCUACGGGAGGCAGCAGUAGGGAAUCUUCCGCAAAGGGCGAAAGCCUGACGGAGCAACGCCGCGUGAGUGAAGAAGGAUUUCGGUUCGUAAAGCUCUGUUGUUAGGGAAGAAUGGAUAUGUAGUAACUAUACAUGUAAGAGACGGUACCUAACCAGAAAGCCACGGCUAACUACGUG